Molecule: ribosomal RNA, 430 nt
Filed under: Bacteroidota bacterium
Lineage: Bacteria; Pseudomonadati; Bacteroidota
Description: Bacteroidetes bacterium partial 16S ribosomal RNA
Rfam family: Bacterial small subunit ribosomal RNA
Source: RNAcentral
UAGGGAAUCUUCCGCAAUGGACGCAAGUCUGACGGAGCAACGCCGCGUGAGUGAAGAAGGAUUUCGGUUCGUAAAACUCUGUUGUUAGAGAAGAACAGCGCAUAGAGUAACUGUUAUGCGUGUGACGGUAUCUAACCAGAAAGCCACGGCUAACUACGUGCCAGCAGCCGCGGUAAUACGUAGGUGGCAAGCGUUGUCCGGAUUUAUUGGGCGUAAAGCGAGCGCAGGCGGUCAAUUAAGUCUGAUGUGAAAGCCCCCGGCUCAACCGGGGAGGGUCAUUGGAAACUGGUUGACUUGAGUGCAGAAGAGGAGAGUGGAAUUCCAUGUGUAGCGGUGAAAUGCGUAGAUAUAUGGAGGAACACCAGUGGCGAAGGCGACUCUCUGGUCUGUAACUGACGCUGAGGCUCGAAAGCGUGGGUAGCAAAACAGG